This 83-nucleotide transfer RNA is filed under the name Candidatus Omnitrophota bacterium. RNAcentral describes it as "Candidatus Omnitrophica bacterium (sediment metagenome) tRNA-Tyr". It matches the Rfam family "tRNA". From Rfam's summary of the family: Transfer RNA (tRNA) molecules are approximately 80 nucleotides in length. Their secondary structure includes four short double-helical elements and three loops (D, anti-codon, and T loops). Lineage: Bacteria; Pseudomonadati; Candidatus Omnitrophota. The record is from RNAcentral.
GGGUAGGUACUCAAGUGGUCAACGAGGACAGACUGUAAAUCUGUUGCGCUUGCGCUCCGGAGGUUCGAAUCCUCCCCUGCCCA